Microcebus murinus (gray mouse lemur) is the source of this 373-nucleotide non-coding RNA. The record is from RefSeq and is a predicted model, not a curated record. Lineage: Eukaryota; Metazoa; Chordata; Mammalia; Primates; Cheirogaleidae.
UUACUCUGCGGUAUUUCCAGAGCUGGUUGCCCUUCAUGCUGUGGCAGUCGUAGAGCGUGACCGGGCUGGUGUGGGAGACGGCGUCAAAGCAGAACUUCUUGGUGUGCUGGGGGUCUCCAGGCCGGAUGUCCUCCCUCCAGGUGAAGCAGCUUUACUGAAGAAUAAUUGGUGGACAAUAAAUUGCACACAUUUAAAGUGUACAAUUUGAUACAUUUUAGCGCAUGUUUACUACACCUGUGAGACCAUUAUCAAUCAAGGUAAUGAACGUAUCCAUCACUCCCCCAAAGUAUCUCCAUGAUCCUUUGCAAUCUCUUCCUCCUCGUCCCCCUACCCCAAGGCAGCCACUGAUCUGCUUUCUGUUGCUAGAGAUUAG